CCUACGGGUGGCAGCAGUGGGGAAUCUUCCGCAAUGGGCGAAAGCCUGACGGAGCAACGCCGCGUGAUCGAAUGAAGGCCUUCGGGUUGUAAAGAUCUUUUGUCAGGGACGAAGCAAGUGACGGUACCUGACGAAUAAGCCACGGCUAACUACGUGCCAGCAGCCGCGGUAAUACGUAGGUGGCAAGCGUUAUCCGGAUUUACUGGGUGUAAAGGGCGUGUAGGCGGGACUGCAAGUCAGAUGUGAAAACCACGGGCUCAACCUGUGGCCUGCAUUUGAAACUGUAGUUCUUGAGUACUGGAGAGGCAGACGGAAUUCCUAGUGUAGCGGUGAAAUGCGUAGAUAUUAGGAGGAACACCAGUGGCGAAGGCGGUCUGCUGGACAGCAACUGACGCUGAGGCGCGAAAGCGUGGGGAGCAAACAGGAUUAGAUACCCCGGUAGUC
RNAcentral lists this ribosomal RNA (444 nucleotides) under uncultured bacterium. RNAcentral describes it as "partial 16S ribosomal RNA". It matches the Rfam family "Bacterial small subunit ribosomal RNA", at positions 338 to 795 of the family's 1533-position model. The record is from RNAcentral.